RNAcentral lists this long non-coding RNA (1130 nucleotides) under Oryctolagus cuniculus (rabbit). RNAcentral describes it as "lncRNA (ENSOCUG00000038870.1)". Lineage: Eukaryota; Metazoa; Chordata; Mammalia; Lagomorpha; Leporidae. The record is from RNAcentral.
AAUCUUUUUUUUUUUUUUUUUAAAAGAGGAUUCCCUGAAGGAAAGAGUGCAGGAGAGACAGCCUAGCUGACUUGAAGGUGAAAAUGAAGUUUUCUGGCAGAGUGAGGGCGGCUAAACAAGAAAGCCAAAAGGAUGAAGGGAGGGCUUUGGCCAGAGGAGGGUUGUCUAACCCAGAGGUCAAUCGAAGAGAGACGUUGUAGAGCACUUUUAGCUGUGAUGUGAAGACCCCACAACAACUCCUAUUCUCUCUAAUAGAACUGCAGCCAGUCACUAGCAUACAGGGUGCUUAGAAGGUAGCCUAGAUCAGAAGUCUUAGUGCCACCCAUAGGGGAAGCAGGGUUGGGAGAGGGCAAGGAACUUGCCUGCCAUCAGGAAUCAGUCACUAAGCCUGGAGCGGAGCCUGCACUGCAGCCCAGGGCGACGAUGCUAUGCUUUUGUGUAGGAAAUUCUUGCUGGGCCAGCAUUUGAGAAAAUGGGAGGUUUCAAAUAUUUGGCAAGAUUAAGCUAAAAGGGGAGGGGCUCCUCUUUCCUAGUUAUGUUUUUAUUCAAAGCAGCCAAGCAUUUCUCAUUUCUGCUGGUUAACAUUAGCACUGUUACUCAGAUUGUAUGUGUAUGGGAGUCACCUGGGGAUCUCGUUAAAAUGCACGUUCUGAUUCUGUAAGUCUAGGGUGGGCCCAUGAUUCCGCAUUUAUAACAAGCUCCCAGACCGCUCUGGGAGUGCUGUAACCAGAGCCCAGGCUCCCCAUUUAGCUUCCUCUACUGCUCUGAGAGUUUGCUAUACUACCUUCUUCCUCUCAGUGCCAUGCACUUGCUUGGCUCACCUGAGGCAGGGCUUUCACAGUCCCUGUGAACUCAUCCUGGAGAGAAUGCAGCCGGGCAGCCCUCCCCAGCCCUCUUCCCUUUCUACACGGAGUUGCCCAGAGUUUACUGGAGAAAUCUCAUUUUGCUGGAAGUUCCACGGAGGAUCCAGGGAUCCCACUGCUGGAGCGUGACUUGGAGAUUCCCGCCAUUGCUGCCCAGUAAUGACACUAAAGGAGAAGUUACGUUGUCACAGAAACAUAGGGAUGAAUAUCCUGUAAGUACACAACAGACUGUGUGAUUCUGGAUGGUUUGGGGAAGAUUGGGCCUGA